AAGGGAGAAAGACCUCUCGGGAGAGUGCUAAUUUUUCUGAGCCGCAGUUUAAAUCCGCGGGUCCCUUG
RNAcentral lists this transfer RNA (68 nucleotides) under Uropterygius concolor (unicolor snake moray). RNAcentral's name for it is "tRNA-Ser". The record is from RNAcentral. Lineage: Eukaryota; Metazoa; Chordata; Actinopteri; Anguilliformes; Muraenidae.